CACGCCGUCCGUCCUUGCCGCCGACGUCGCAGCGGACAACCUCAUCUCGGCGCUCUACUUCAUGGCGCUCUUCUCACUGGCGUCAAACAUCCCAGCAGAGCCCAAGACGGCGACGGCGAGUCCGCAGAAGGACGGCGAGCGGCUGUCGGUGCUGAACGGUGGCGCGGCGAUCGCUUUGUCCUUCAUCAUCUGCAAGGCCGCGCGGCUGGGGCUCCAGGGCGGCACGCUGCCCUGCAUCACGGCGCUGGCCGUGUUCCUGGCACUGAGGCCAACAGAUCAGCCGUUCUGAUGGCUCCAGCAUGUGUGUCCUCCCGUUUGCUCUCAGAGCAGGCACCCUCAUGUUUUUCUUCGGAACAGUGCCCAACGCCAUCACCGGGGAUUGGAAUAGGAACCACAUUUGCUUGUGGCUGCCCUGCAUCUUUGAGCAAUGCAGUAGGUUCCUCGUUCUCUGGGAGCAGCAUAUCAUCUUCUAGUGGCAUAGUCUCUUCUCCCGUGUUGUCACAUCUUUGGUCAUCGCAACCAGCAUUACCAGCUUGGCUAUCUGUCUCGGGAACUUGCUCGGUAUCUGUAACCUCUCUCUCAGGAGCUGUAGAAACCGGAUUGCCAUGAAAACCUGACUUCAAUCUCCCCUCUG
RNAcentral lists this unclassified non-coding RNA (634 nucleotides) under Zea mays. RNAcentral describes it as "misc RNA Zm00001eb401650". Lineage: Eukaryota; Viridiplantae; Streptophyta; Magnoliopsida; Poales; Poaceae. The record is from RNAcentral.